This 273-nucleotide unclassified non-coding RNA is filed under the name Hevea brasiliensis (rubber tree). The record is from RNAcentral. Lineage: Eukaryota; Viridiplantae; Streptophyta; Magnoliopsida; Malpighiales; Euphorbiaceae.
UUCAAAGCUUCAUCAACCAGAUCUUUGCUACACAGGAUGGGGUCAUUGUGCUCCUGAAGCCUCCGCCUGGCAAAAUCCACAGCAUUUUGGCUCCUAAACACAUCCCAGAGCCCAUCACAACCUAUAAUGAGGAAUUCAUCCUCUGCUGUCAGUUGAAUAGUCAUAAGCUCUGGUUCUGCACUAAGUGGCCCACCAUCUGUGCCUUUCAUUCCUUCCAUAUGCCAGUCUCCUAUAGCGCGAGCCACAUUAAGUAGACCAUUGAGGUAACCAUCA